Molecule: ribosomal RNA, 435 nt
Filed under: Laccaria amethystina
Lineage: Eukaryota; Fungi; Basidiomycota; Agaricomycetes; Agaricales; Hydnangiaceae
Description: LSU rRNA
Rfam family: Bacterial large subunit ribosomal RNA
Source: RNAcentral
AAUUAUCCUCAUAAGUUUGACGAAAAGAGGGACCGUUAUAAGCUAGUUUAUUUAUAUUCUUAUUUUUUUAAUUAAUUUAAAUUAAUAUUGACAAUCCAUAAAAAAUCACUUAUAACGGUGACACAAAAUCGGAGGCCACGACUGUUUACUAAAAACACAACACAGUGCAAUCAUUAAUAUGAUAGUAUACUGUGUGAAAUUUGCCCGAUGCCAUUAAUAUAAGAGCGAUCAUGGUUUUCUGUGAUUAAUCGAAAAUCUGGUUAAUAGCGGUCUUAACUAUGAGGAUCCUAAGGUAGCAAAAUAAAUUGGCCUUUAAAUGAGGUCCGGUAUCAAUAAUGUAACGAUGGUCUCACUGUCUCUACAACUUGCUCAGUGAAAUUGAAUUACGCGUGCAGAUGCGCGUUGCCUUCAGGGGGACGGGAAGACCCUAUGCAG